GUCGAGAGGCUUUGGCAAUGGGGGAAACCCUGACCAAGCGACGCCGCGUGGAGGAUGAAGGCCCUUGGGUUGUAAACUCCUUUUGUCGGGGAAGAAGUGCGAUCAGGUGAACAAUCUGGUCGUUUGACGGUACCCGGCGAAUAAGCUCCGGCUAACUCCGUGCCAGCAGCCGCGGUAACACGGGGGGAGCAAGCGUUGUUCGGAAUCACUGGGCGUAAAGGGCGUGUAGGCGGUCAUGUAAGUGGAAUGUGAAAUCCCUCGGCUUACCCGAGGACCUGCAUCCCAAACUGCAUGACUUGAGUACGGGAGAGGAUGAGGGAAUUCCUGGUGUAGCGGUGAAAUGCGUAGAUAUCAGGAGGAACACCGGUGGCGAAGGCGCUCAUCUGGCCCGUUUCUGACGCUGAGGCGCGAAAGCUAGGGUAGCGAACGGGAUUAGAAACCCCGGUAGUCC
This 451-nucleotide ribosomal RNA is filed under the name uncultured bacterium. RNAcentral describes it as "bacterial SSU rRNA". It matches the Rfam family "Bacterial small subunit ribosomal RNA", at positions 354 to 796 of the family's 1533-position model. The record is from RNAcentral.